CCUAAAUAAACAAUUCCUGAUUCAAUACGACUCAAAUAAAAUAAAGCUGGACAACUACAAAUCAAUUGAUUGAUUAUAACUGCAUAUAUUAAAUCAAGCACAAAUCUGGAAUGACACUUCAUUUUAUUCCAAUUCAAAGCUACAUCAGGGUGAUCUUAAAUGUGUACCUGGACAGAAAUUCAGAAAAAGGAGAAUAAGUCAGCAUAUAUUCAAUCAAGCACAAAUCUGGAAUAACACUUCAUUUUAUUCCAAUUCAAAGCUACAUCAGGGUGAUCUUAAAUGUGUACCUGGACAGAAAUUCAGAAAAAGGAGAAUAAGUCAACAGCAAAUAACAGCAGAGAUCCAACACUCAGCAGAUCCAGAAAACUCAACCACAAACACACCAAUUAAACUCGAAUAAAUUUGAAAAUGUACCCAGGCACUCAAAAACUCUUCAGCAAUUAGACAGAAACUAACAAAUCAACCCAGAGGCUAUAGGCUCGAAUGCACCAGAAUAUUUCAGCCAACCUAAAACUCAUCCAAAGCUUACUUAAUUGGACCAAAACUACUUGAAAUCAAAACAGUGCACUCCAGAGAAGAGCUUCAGUAAUCAGAAAAGAAAAGAGUUGAUCAAAAUUGACCAAAACUCAAUGUAACAGUGCCUUUUUUUAAUUUUUCUAUUGUGUUU
This 667-nucleotide long non-coding RNA is filed under the name Nicotiana benthamiana. Its description in RNAcentral is "long non-coding RNA (NBEN_LNC020515)". Lineage: Eukaryota; Viridiplantae; Streptophyta; Magnoliopsida; Solanales; Solanaceae. The record is from RNAcentral.